GGGGGAGUAUUGUCGCAAGGCUGAAACUUAAAGGAAUUGAUGGAAAGGCACCACCAGGAGUGGAGCUUGCGGCUUAAUUUGACUAAACACGGGGAAACUUAGCAGGUCCAUACAUAGUAAGGAUUGGCAAACUUAAAGCUUUUUCUUGAUUCUAUGGGUGGUGGUGCAUGGCCCUUCUUAGUUGGUGGAGCUAUUUGACUGGUUAAUUCUGUUAACGAACGAGACCUUAGCCUAAUAACUAUCUAUGUGGUGGUAUCCCUUCGCGGCAGCUUCUUAGAGGGACUAGGUCCUCUUAGGAUGCGGAAGUUUGAGGCAAUAACACGUUUGUGACGCCCUUAGAUGUUUUCGGCCGGACGCGUGCUACACGGAUGUAUUCAACGAGCUUAUAGCCUUGGUCGACACGGUUGGGUAAUCUUUGAAAUUUCAUAGUGAUGGGGAUAAGUCAUUGCAAUUGUUGGUCUUCAACGAGGAAUACCUAUUAAGCGCGAGUCAUCAGCUCGCGUUGACUAUGUCCAUGCCCUUUGUACACACCGCCCGUCGCUCCUACCGAUUGAAUGAUUGGGUGAAAUGUUUAGAUUACGGCGACAUGGGCGGUUCAAUGCCCGCAACAUCGUGAGUAGUCCAUUGAACCUUAUCAUUUAGAGGAAGGAGAAGUCGUAACAAGGUUUUUGUAGUUGAACCUGUGGAAG
RNAcentral lists this ribosomal RNA (689 nucleotides) under Solanum tuberosum (potato). RNAcentral's name for it is "rRNA SSU_rRNA_eukarya". It matches the Rfam family "Eukaryotic small subunit ribosomal RNA", at positions 1117 to 1823 of the family's 1831-position model. Lineage: Eukaryota; Viridiplantae; Streptophyta; Magnoliopsida; Solanales; Solanaceae. The record is from RNAcentral.